This is a non-coding RNA of Peromyscus maniculatus bairdii (prairie deer mouse), 7503 nucleotides long. The record is from RefSeq and is a predicted model, not a curated record. NCBI's taxonomy places the organism in Eukaryota, Metazoa, Chordata, Mammalia, Rodentia, Cricetidae.
GACCCUGCCCUGUUUGAGUUUCUGUCCUGACUUCUUUCAGUGAUGAACAGCAAUGCUGAAGUGUAAGCCAAAUAAGCCCUUUCCUCCCCAACUUGCUUUUUGGUCAUGGUGUUUUGUCAAAACAAUACAAAGCCUAACAAAGACUGAUGAUAAAGUUGAAAAAAAAAAAAAAAACUUUGCAGAACAUAGAAGGAAAGAGCUUGGGGGGGUGGGUGGUGAGGGUUCAGUCAGUUCAAGAGCAUCAACAUCCAAACAGUAGGCCUUCCAGGAAAAAUAAAAGAAGAAAGUGGAGGGAAAGAAAUGGCAACAUAAUUCCUUUCCAGACAGGCCCUCUGGGGACAUGGGGUACCGGUCCCAAGGUGACCUAAGUGAAAGUGUGUCGUGUGGCCAUAGCAUAAGAUGGAGCACCAAGGAUGGACAAGAACACACAAGUGCCAUCUCACAGCGAACUGGAACAGCUCUGAAUUCAGCAGCAGCCCUGGAAGGCUGGACCCAGUGAGAGGAAGAAAGCAUGACCAGCUAUGAUGGGUUGAAGGCUUACAUCACUGUAGCAGAAUAUUUGAAGGUCAUCACGUUGGAGAAAGGGAUCUCAGCUUUGAACAUUUUCCGGCAGUGCAUGAGCUGCACCAGCAGGAAGUUCAUGGCCACUAUGCAAAGGAGGGGCCACAGAAAGGACAAAGGACCCGAAGUGGCCCGGUCAUCCCCAGAUUGCUGGCUCUCCAGACUCUUACCAACUCUUGUCUCUUCUCCCCCUCCUACAUAUAUGAUACAAAGCCCUGCACCCAAUAUAUCUCAGCCCACAUGGGAGAGCAGGAGGUGAGAACCAUGGUUUCUUUAAAGCUCUGCUGGGCCAGGCUGUUUCAUGACUGAAUGAGGGGGGCGGGCUGUCCACCUUUCUCCGAUGGGAUGGCACAAUAAAGAAGGUCUCGAUGUUGUGAGUUCUCAGGAAGGUGUUCCUCUCGUGGCCAUGACCCGGCUCGACCUCGUAGUCCCCAUUCAAGCACGCGAGGGUCGUCUUUGUGAUGUGAACCUUCCUAUGAGAGAAGGAUGCAAAGCUGAGUGUGAACUCACAAGCGUGGCUGCGCAGGGUCCUGGGUGAGGCACUCUCACUUGGGGUCACAGCAGAGGUUGGGGCACAUGCACUCAUGUUCCAAUGCGUGAGUAACCUGGGAAGAAAGGACUGGAAGGCCCAGGCAAGCCAAGUGAUGGGGUGCACAGCCAGGAAGGCAGGAUCGGGUUGGCGAAAGCCACAAAGGAUCAGGAAGAGCCCCAACGGAGAGAAAGAAACAAUCAGAAGUUUGUAAUAAAGAAGAUGAGAACAAAGCAGAGUGGAAAAAGAAAGGGGAAGACUUCACAGCCAGCCCAAUGAGGAGCUGCAGGUCCUGGAUGCGGGGGCCAGAGGGCAGAGGGCAGUGGAAAAUGCUAAGGGAACCUCCACCUUCUGCUUCUCUGCCAGGCCAGCUCUUCCCUAGAUUUUCUGAAUUCCCUAUAGGAGAAAGCCUUGAGUUCAUGUUCAAACUCUGCAGCUGACUGAGAGACAGGGUAAAUGGUCGGGGCAUGAAUUGACUCUAAAGUCACAGCAUUUUCCAUGCAGAGGUGUGAGAAAAUAAAACACAGAAGUAAUAACAAGGCACGAGAAUACCCCAUGUACCAGGAUAAAGUCCCCAUGCACAUCUGGUCUGACCCACACUGGGUUUCUGCAGAUGUGCACUGGACCUCAGCCAGGUCCUAUGGAGGGUCAAAGGUGAACCUACCCAAGUACCCUCAGGAUCAAAUGCUUGAAAUGAGGACUCUAGCAAAGGCGCUCGGCCACCUUCCACCCAAGCUACAACUUACCCAGGUAAGCCAGCAGCCUCCAUGACAUUGGCCAGGGUCACAUCAUUGGACCAGACAUCGUAUUGCCACUUGCGUAGGCCCAGGACUCCACAGAGGACCCUGCCGGUGUGUAGCCCGACACGCAUGUUCAGGUCCACUUCAGUAGCCUCGGCCACGGAUCUGUAACACAGGUACAGGGCAUGGGGCCGAAGGCUGCCUGGCAGGGACCUCAGUAGGCUGUCACGGCUGCACUGUGAAGCCAUGAGCACAGGGGAAUAGGCUGCUUGGGUUUGUGAUGUGACAGGUACCAGGGUGUCUGAUCAGAGGACAGCAGCACAUCUCUGCCUACCCGUGAGCUAAAAGUCAGCCACAUCGAUGGGCAGCAAACUCUGUGAACUACCCACAUAGCAUCCUCCCGCCCCUCCCCACCCAGGGAAGUCUCCAAGAAGAAAUGAACCCAGGACCUCAACGUAGAUCUUCUGAGGAAACAGUCUGGGGAAGUGGACGAAGGCAGAGCACGUGCAGAAGGAAUUAAGGACUUGGGCACCAGCCAGUCUGGCCAACUGAGGAUACACCACUCUUGGUCCCUGAGACUCAGUGUCCUGGCGUGUGAGUCUGGCUCUGGCAACAUUAGCACUGACAAUGUCUGGAAUUGCUUCAGAGCUCCCCUGGUACACCUCAAUGCAGGAGAUGUAAACCACCUCCUUCCAGCCUUUUCUAUUCCAUUCUUAGAGAACACCAAGGGAUGCUCCACGAGGGACUCUGGGAAGAACACCAUCUCCUUGUCACUGAAGUGGCCUGCCAAUCUUCAAUAAGAGACACUGAAAUGAAACUCCAAUAAGAAAAUCUGCAUUUUCAAACCCACAUGAGCAACAUGAGCAACGUUCGUGGAGACACCUGCCCUUCCUGUUCUGGAGCACAUUCACCAUCUCUGUUUCCGCAGUCACAAAAGCAGGGGCUUCCCUGUGACGUGGACAGACUUGUACAGGACCACGGGCAGCAGAGCGGAGGGAAUCCUGGGGAAAUCCUGCAGCAGAGGGCCUCCCUCUUCUUGGGAUGGCUCCUUCUGCCUGGGAGCUGGUGAAUCAUCCCCUACCGAGGCUGCGGAAAUCCUCCCACUCAGCUACGGCAUCUGAGAGACGCUCAGUCCUCACAACCACCACGUCUCCAUUCACAGCCAGAGAGGACGAAGCGUUCGAGGAAAAUGAAACACCACCCCAGACUGGGAACCAGGAACCCACAAGCUUCUCUCUAGCCUCAGCAACCAGAGGUCCUGGGGUCCAGUCACUCAGGGAACGUGGAGGUCUAGUCCACGGUGGGAGGGGAGGGGUAUAAGCAGAAAGGGGAGGAGGCACAGACCGUGUUGGAUGGGGGAGGAGGGGGAGGAAGACUCAACUACUUCACCACCAGCAUGCCUGCCCUCAUGGACAUCUGGGAACAGAGCUUAGAAGGAGUUAUUUUCUGAGGCCUGAGCAGCAUAGAAAUCCUUAGAUGCCCAUCAAAAUAAGGCCACUGGGGGGUAGAGUGGGAGGUGUCCUCGCCCUUCGGAUACCUGCCAACCCUGGUACAACAGCUGAGGAGAUGGCCCUAAAGCCCCUUCUUCUUGGUAUUGCAUUGCAGGGAUAUAAAAGUGAGGAACACAGAUGCUCUACACUUUAGGGGUCUCUAUCCCAUUCUGGGUCCACUCCAGGGCUGCCUGGGGUUGCAGAAAAACAAUGUCCUCAACCUCUGAACUAAUCAAUGACAAGACAACAGGCAUGGGGGGCCUGAGUUUAAAGGUUAGAAAAGAAAAAUAAAGUGAAUGUUUCUGUCUAUUUUCCCCAUAGGAAUGAACAGUCUUAGGAAGUAAAAUAACCAGAUUGUUAUACAGUCGUUGACAAGGGAAGUGUCCUGACCCCUCCAGCCUGGGGAGAAAUCAGGACCAGUCUAGCAGACUUCUAUCUGCAUUCUCACUUGGAGCAGCGCCUGCCCUGAUGGCACCCUUCCUUGUCUGGCCCAUGCGCCUUCCCUGCACAAGCCCAUCCUAUAUGCACAAGUGUCGGAAUGGACUGCCAUGCUCCCAACAGCCAGCAGUCCUGGCCAGGUUCUGCCAGCAAAGCCUCGUUUGAACUUAACAGCUGAUCAUGGAGACCAGACCCAGCUGGGUCAGAGGAUAGUGGCCUCCCCAUCACCCUUCAUCAUUGCACCAUGCAUCCCAGAGAUGUAUGUGCAGGAAACAGUUCCAGAAUCUUCCAGUAACCAUGCUAGUCUUUGAGUCUCAGAAAAGCUCUCUGUCCAGUCAGAAUUCUCAAACCUACAAAAGACCUAUGGCUCCUGAAAAAUGGGCACUUCAGGCCCACAGACUGAGCUAUUUACUGGUCACUGGGACAUACUGUCCAUCACUCGGGGACAUUUUAAAAAAAGAGGUCAUUUCAGAAUCAAAGAAUCCAAACCGUUGAAGCCCGCUAGCUUCCUCUAGAUACUGGGAGGCACCUCUGGUCCAGAUGGCUCCAGACAGAAGGAAGACGUAGUUAAGGGCAUAGGCACUGCCCCCCACAUUGGGGCAUAUAGCACAAGGCCCAGCAUGGCAUCCUGCACAUGUAUGGGCUCCAGCGCUUCACUGGUUCUCCCGAGGUCUUCUCCAAGAGUCACAGUGUUUCCAAAGCUCCCAGAUGCCCCACUCCAAGGUCAAGAAACAAAACCACAUGAACACCCUGCUUUGCCUGGACAUGCCUGUCCUCUAGAUAAACAUGUUCUGUCUUGUGUGAUUCUGCGCACCCCUCUGAAACAGGGGCACAAGCAGGCUGGUAUGGCCAUCAGGGAAGGUGCCAGUUGCCAUAUGGAAUCUUUCUGGGAGAUCCAGAGGCCAGCCAAUGCUGAGCACACAUGGGCCAUCCCUGGCUCUGUGCAAUUCUCACGGGAAGAAGGGCUGUUAGAUUCUCUUGGAUGAACUCAAGCUGCUUGCUCCUUCCCGUCCAGAGCCAGAAAUUCAGGUCACAGAAAGACUCUAAGCUCAUGGGAUCUCGAGGCUGUAUGACUAUAAGACGGAGUGGAAAGCAGUCCAGGAAGGCAAGGCAAGGCCACCAAGCCCCAGGCUCUCCAGCCUCUCAUGACAGAGACAGAGACACAGAGACAGAGAAUUCCAGCUGAAAUACUGGAGGAACAGUGAGGAGACCAUGAAGCAGAGCAAGUUGGGCAGGGUGGCAAGGUAUCGGCUCAGCCUCAGCAGGUGGAUAUGGCACUCCACAGAAAUGCCUUAGAAUUGAAGCACAUGCCAACUUUAUAAGAGAGACUGGAAAGAAAGGAAGGCCUGCGCCCCAUGUGAGAAAUAAGGCUCCUGAACUCGGAGAGACCAUGGAAAGCUGCCAGAGAACACAGGCAGGAAGGGCAUCCAGUCUGCAGGGUACAAAGCCACUGUGAGCUACCUGGUCACCCCAGUCAGGUGGAGCCCCCACCUAACUUUACCUGGAUCUACAUAGCACACCCUCUGUCUCAGAUCUUCCACCUACAAAGCCUCAUUGUACCUGAACCAGGUCACACAAAACAGGACGUGGUAAAAUAUGCGACCUGUCUAUACAUGAUGCAUGAUGGGAAGUGGAAUGCAGAGUGAUAUACUAUAGCCAUGCUGGCUUCAGAAGGUAGCACAGGCCCUGAUACACUGAGCCUGCCUUCUACAUUUACAGGGACACACCCACUGAGGACACUGCCUCAUUCAUCACAAAGCCCUAACCAGCGGCAUGAGAUGGAGUCACCCAAUGACUGUCUGUCAAAUCCGCAGCUCACCAGCCACCAGGUUUCAUCCAUCACUUCUUCUUUUCUUCCUUUUGUUAUGAGUAUAUACAAAGGUAAAAACAAUGGGUUCCAUUAUGACAAUUUCACACAUGGAUAGAUAGUGUACUUUAAUUCAUCAACUGUUUCCUGAUUUAAACACCAGAGAGAAAAGGAGCCUAAAGACACAAUGAUGCUACCUCAUCUUGGUUUUUCUGGCUUUAAGAAUACAUAUUGUCUUUGCCUCAACAACCUGUCCUGGACUCACGGGGCUCCUGCUGAACAUCAAAUUACCAUACUUGGAGUCAGAGUAUGGUGCCAUUGCAUAUUAUUACAUCAUGUGGCAUACAUAUGUGAUACCCGAUAUAAUAUAUGGCACAAUACAGACACGCACAUGAUAAAUAUGACACAUGGUAUUAGGAUGUGAUACAGGCGAGGGGUGGUGAUGAUGGGGCAGGAUAGGUAACAUGGCAGAGGAUAUGUUGUCUGCUUCCACACAUGAUACAUGAUAAUAUAUCAUAUGCAACUGUGAUCCUUUUAAUUUAUUUUUAUUAUAUGUGUGUGGGUGUUUUGCCCGCAUGUAUGUCUGUGGGCCACAUGCAUGCAGUGCCCACAGAGGCCAGAAGAGGGCAGGUGUCCGAGCCCCUGGAACUGCAGUUUCUGAGCAUUGUGAGCACCUUAUGGGUGCUGGGAAUCAAACCCAGGUCCUCUGGAAAAGCAGCCAGUCCUCUUAACCUUCUGAGCCAUCUCUCCAAACCCUAAUAGUGAUUUGAUGUGACCUGGGACACACAAUAUAACAUCCUUCCAGGGAACAAUAGAUAGUCAUUGCCAGGCAUCUUCCUCUUCUCCCUUCCUUACCCCCCUUGCGGCAGAACACAUUUUCCAGCUGCCUUCCCCCGGGGCAGUGACUCCUGCAUCUAGGGAUUGAUCAUAGGCACCAGGGAACUUCUUCACUCUCAUUUCAUAGAGUGGAGCUCAGAUCAGCUCCUGAGGGCUUCUGGCAGGAGCAGUCCUGGAGAGCUAGUCCCUGCAGAGCCAACUUUGGUGUUCAGGGCAGCCAUAGUGCUGGCUGCUUCCUUACACCUGUCCCCAACUGUGUGGAUGCUGUGUGUGUGCAUGCCUGCACACGGCAGCCACUUGACAGCUUCCUUGAGUAGCUUUUAUGUCAGUACUUUCCACUCUAAGCAUGAACUUUACACCACCACUUCCUGAGAACAGCUCAUGGAAACUACCUGCCACUCCGCUGAGACAUCUACCUUCGUCCAUCAGUCCCACACCUGGAAUACAUCACCAUCUCUGACAAGGCCAGCCGCAGCUGACCAAGAAAAGGUAGGCUGGGUCUCACAGGAGAACCCACUCCACAGGAACUCACAUGCCCAGACUUCGGCCCCCUCUUCCCACAGAGCACCAGAGGCAAUCGGCUACCCAGAAGAACACUGGCUGGCUUUGAAUGGGCUUGUGCCCUCAGCCUUCCUCAGUGCCUCCCCAAGCUCAGUUACAGAGGUCCCUUAUGGGCACACUAGACACACAAAGGAUUUCUGUGCACAGAGCAAUGCAUCAUAAACCGAGAGGAGGGCUCACCAAUGCAUCCCCUCUCAAUGCAAGUGGGUCACUCUGACCCCGCCCCCUCCCAAUGCUGCCUCAGCCUCUGCAGUCGGAGACAGACGUGGUGACGGCGCAACACUUACGUGAUGGUAUCGAUCAUGUCAAGUCCCAUCUCCACACAGCAAUGGGCGUGAUCAGUCUUGGGCUGGGUGAGGCCCGACACACAGUAGUAGCAGUCCCCAAGGAUCUUGAUGCGGCGACAGUGGUUUUCCUUUGGGGAAAGCACAGCACAAGAUCAUUGCAGAGUUGCUGCUGGAUUUGAACAGAAGUAUCCUGCAUAGGUGGACAACAUGCUUCCAGAAGACAUGGGUUAUUAAAUGAAAUUUUCAGUGCCAA